Molecule: ribosomal RNA, 591 nt
Filed under: actinobacterium 00YDV
Lineage: Bacteria; Bacillati; Actinomycetota; Actinomycetes
Description: bacterial SSU rRNA
Rfam family: Bacterial small subunit ribosomal RNA
Source: RNAcentral
GAGUCGCACGAUGACAGCCCUUCGGGGUGGAUUAGUGGCGAACAGGUGAGUAACACGGGGGCAAUCUGGCCUUCACUCUGGGACAAGCCCUGUAAACGGGGUCUAAUACCGGAUACCCCUCCUGCCUGCAUGGGCGGGGGUUGAAAGAUCCGGCGGCGAAGGAUGAGCCCGCGGCCUAUCAGCUUGUUGGUGGGGUAAUGGGCCACCAAGGCGACUACGGGAAGACGGCCUGAGAGGGCGACCGGACACACUGGGACUGAGACACGGACCAGACUCCUACAGGAGGCAGCAGGGGGGAAUAUUGCACUAUGGGCGAAAGCCUGAUGCACCGACGCCGCGUGAGGGAUGACGGCCUUCGGGUUGUAAACCUCUUUCAGCAUGGAAGAAGCGAGAGUGACAGUACCUGCAGAAGAAGCGCCGGCUAACUACGUGCCAGCAGCCGCGGUAAUACGUAGGGCGCAAGCGUUGUCCGGAAUUAUUGGGCGUAAAGAGCUCGUAGGCGGCUUGUCACGUCGGAUGUGAAAGCCCGAGGCUUAACCUCGGGACUGCAUUCCAUACGGGUUAGCUAGAGUGCGGUAGGGGAGAUCGGAA